Molecule: small RNA, 937 nt
Filed under: Pongo abelii (Sumatran orangutan)
Lineage: Eukaryota; Metazoa; Chordata; Mammalia; Primates; Hominidae
Description: processed transcript
Source: RNAcentral
GCGCCCGGCGGGUACUGCAGGCGAUGACCCAGGAUGCAGCCAGGGGGCACGACAUGCACGGAGGACCGCAUCCAGCAUGCCCUGGAACGCUGCCUGCACGGACUCAGCCUCAGCCGCCGCUCCACCUCCUGGUCAGCUGGGCUGUGUCUGAACUGCUGGAGCCUGCAGGAGCUGGUCAGCAGGGACCCGGGCCACUUCCUUAUCCUCCUUGAGCAGAUCCUGCAGAAGACCCGAGAGGUCCAGGAGAAGGGCACCUACGACCUGCUCACUCCGCUGGCCCUGCUCUUCUAUUCCACUGUUCUUUGUACACCACACUUCCCACCAGACUCGGAUCUCCUUCUGAAGGCAGCCAGCACCUACCACCGGUUCCUGACCUGGCCUGUUCCUUACUGCAGCAUCUGCCAGGAGCUGCUCACCUUCAUCGAUGCUGAACUCAAGGCCCCAGGGAUCUCCUACCAGAGGCUGGUGAGGGCUGAGCAGGGCCUGCCCAUCAGGAGUCAUCGCAGCUCCACCGUCACCGUGCUGCUGCUGAACCCAGUGGAAGUGCAGGCCGAGUUCCUCGCUGUAGCCAAUAAGCUGAGCACCCCCGGACACUCGCCUCACAGUGCCUACACCACCCUGCUCCUGCACGCCUUCCAGGCCACCUUUGGGGCCCACUGUGACGUCCCGGGCCUGCACUGUAGGCUACAGACACUGCAAAACCAGGGAAGCUCCAUACCAUCCCCAUCCCUGUCGCCCGGUGCUACACCUACAGCUGGAGCCAGGACAGCUUUGACAUCCUGAAGGAAAUCCUGCUCAAGGAACAGGAGCUGCUCCAGCCAGGGAUCCUGGGAGAUGAUGAAGAGGAGGAGGAGGAGGAGGAGGAGGAGGAGGAGGAGGAGGAGGAGGACUUGGAAACUGACGGGCACUGUGCCGAGAGAGAUUCCCUGCUCUCCAC